RNAcentral lists this ribosomal RNA (301 nucleotides) under uncultured bacterium. RNAcentral's name for it is "partial 16S ribosomal RNA". It matches the Rfam family "Bacterial small subunit ribosomal RNA", at positions 509 to 809 of the family's 1533-position model. The record is from RNAcentral.
CAGUCGCCACGGUAAUGCGUAGGGUGCGAGCGUUAAUCGGAAUUACUGGGCGUAAAGCGUGCGCAGGCGGUUGUGUAAGACAGGUGUGAAAUCCCCGGGCUUAACCUGGGAACUGCGCUUGUGACUGCACAGCUAGAGUAUGGCAGAGGGGGGUGGAAUUCCACGUGUAGCAGUGAAAUGCGUAGAGAUGUGGAGGAACACCGAUGGCGAAGGCAGCCCCCUGGGCCAAUACUGACGCUCAUGCACGAAAGCGUGGGGAGCAAACAGGAUUAGAUACCCCUGUAGUCCCUGUCUCUUAUAA